GCUCCUACGGGACGCAGCAGUGAGGAAUAUUGGUCAAUGGUCGGGAGACUGAACCAGCCAAGUCGCGUGAGGGAAGACGGCCCUACGGGUUGUAAACCUCUUUUGCCGGGGAGCAAUGCCCAGCUCGCGAGCUGGGAAGGAGAGUACCCGGAGAAAAAGCAUCGGCUAACUCCGUGCCAGCAGCCGCGGUAAUACGGAAGGUCCGGGCGUUAUCCGGAUUUAUUGGGUUUAAAGGGAGCGUAGGCCGGCUUUUAAGUCAGCUGUGAAAGUCCGCGGCUCAACCGUGGAAUUGCAGUUGAAACUGG
This 305-nucleotide ribosomal RNA is filed under the name uncultured bacterium. RNAcentral's name for it is "bacterial SSU rRNA". It matches the Rfam family "Bacterial small subunit ribosomal RNA", at positions 335 to 636 of the family's 1533-position model. The record is from RNAcentral.